UUAACUAGCUGGAACGAGGAUGAGCGCUGAGAGAACCUGAGAUGUGCGGCAACCUGGCUUGGAUCGAGCUCCAGCUUUCCCUCCUCUGGGCUCGCAGGCUCUCGCAGAACAAAUCUCUCCCAGAGCUGUGUCACCUCUGUGAGCAGAGCCUGGAGCGGUCUGGCCUGCUCACGGCUGAUCCGAGUGCCCCUCCAUCUGCUCUUCCUCCAGAAAUAAGGCAAGGGUUUUCUCAGAAAUCUGUCGCUGGAAAUCUGGUAGCAGGCUUGCUUAAUGCAGCAAGGGAUUUAAUUAGGUUUUCCCAGAGAGAGGAGAGGAAGGGAAACGGCGAGCAGCUGCUGGCAUCUCCGUCUGCAGCCUCCCUCGCUGCCCCUCCCUCCUCAUCGCUGGGGACGGAAAAGCUGUGCUUGUGGCUUGGUGCAUCUGCAGAACGCGGUGCCAACAAAUGCGACCUGUCUCUCCUGCUUCGUUGCCUCUCUCCUCUCCUCCUCUCGGAACGGAGCGGUCCUGCUCCGGCGGGGCAGCUCUCUUGUGUCCAAGCGAAAUGGCCGAGCCCAGAUUAUGGUAACGCGAGCGGGUUCGAACCACCCGCUUCCGUGGAGCACAAACGGGCUCCUCAGCUGGAAGAUGAGCGCGGUGCACGACGUGCGGACCGAGGCGCGGGAGCGGCCCAGCCGGCGGACGGUGGACCAGCUGAGCCCGGAGCUCCGCGUGGAGAAGUACAUCCUGCUGAGCAUGGACGGGAAGCUGCUGGGCCCGGAGCUGAGCCGGAUCCGGAGCGAGAUGGCCCUGCCCCUGGAGCGCCUGGAUGCUGACCUGCCCCAGGACCUGCCCCCCGGCUACCUCUGGCGCCAGCGCCGCUCCCUGCCGACCUUCCCCCUCGCCCCCGGGAGCGGCGCCCAGACCCCCGCGGACCUCAGGUACGUGCUGCCCCGUGCCGGGGCCGCAGCCUGCGCCCGCCGCCCGCUCGGGGCGCUGACCCGUCCCCCUCUUCCAGGAGGAGCUCGGACUUGCUCUGCGCCGGCCAGUUCCCCACGGGGCUCAGCGACCUGGUGACGGGGAUGCAGGCCCCUGCCUCGCCGUGUGCCAGGAGCCGUGGCAGCCYGCGGGCUCGGCCCCGCUCCGCCCUGGCAGCCCAGGCUUCGGAGGCCGYGGGCCAGGGCUGCCGGGAGCGGACGGCCCCGGGGCGGGAAGGUGGCCAGGAGUGAGGGGAGCCGGGACCCCAGCCAGCUCCCCCCGCCCGGAGUAGGGGCGGCGCUGGCAGCACAGCGGGGCUGUAACGGGAGGAUGGUGCGAAAUAAAGACCCUGGAUGUAACCCCA
RNAcentral lists this long non-coding RNA (1318 nucleotides) under Dromaius novaehollandiae (emu). RNAcentral's name for it is "lncRNA (ENSDNVG00000015490.1)". The record is from RNAcentral. Lineage: Eukaryota; Metazoa; Chordata; Aves; Casuariiformes; Dromaiidae.